Molecule: non-coding RNA, 31 nt
Filed under: Mus musculus (house mouse)
Lineage: Eukaryota; Metazoa; Chordata; Mammalia; Rodentia; Muridae
Source: RNAcentral
UUGNGGAAUUCCAAGCCUAUGGCUGCCCAGG